GGCACAGUGGUCGAGUGGUCUAAGACGCCAGAUUUAAGAUUAUUGCAGGUUUUAUCGCGCGCCCGUGUGUGCGAUUUGGCUAGCGAUGACAUCCUUAAAAUUCCUGGUCUCGAAAGAGGCGUGGGUUCGAACCCCACCUGUGUCA
Serendipita vermifera MAFF 305830 is the source of this 145-nucleotide transfer RNA. It matches the Rfam family "tRNA". From Rfam's summary of the family: Transfer RNA (tRNA) molecules are approximately 80 nucleotides in length. Their secondary structure includes four short double-helical elements and three loops (D, anti-codon, and T loops). Further hydrogen bonds mediate the characteristic L-shaped molecular structure. tRNAs have two regions of fundamental functional importance: the anti-codon, which is responsible for specific mRNA codon recognition, and the 3' end, to which the tRNAs corresponding amino acid is attached (by aminoacyl-tRNA synthetases). tRNAs cope with the degeneracy of the genetic code in two manners: having more than one tRNA (with a specific anti-codon) for a particular amino acid; and 'wobble' base-pairing, i.e. permitting non-standard base-pairing at the 3rd anti-codon position. Lineage: Eukaryota; Fungi; Basidiomycota; Agaricomycetes; Sebacinales; Serendipitaceae. The record is from Rfam.